This is a long non-coding RNA of Marmota monax (woodchuck), 2544 nucleotides long. RefSeq lists it as uncharacterized. Lineage: Eukaryota; Metazoa; Chordata; Mammalia; Rodentia; Sciuridae. The transcript is spliced from 7 exons. The record is from RefSeq and is a predicted model, not a curated record.
UUAGCCACAGUUUAUCUGUUAGUUGUUCUUCUGGUAGGUGUUGGGUUUUCAGUUCUUCUGACCUCUUUAAUUUCCCCUUGUCUUCGGUUCCUGUUCUUUCUCUAUUAUCUUCUCUGCUCUUCUUUUCUUUUUUUUUUAAUUUAAUUUUUUUUCGUUACUUCUGAACUUUUUACUUCUUGUUUUACUUCUGCUUCCUCUCCAUCCCCACCCCUGCCCCACUUCCCUGGACGACAAGGUCAUCCCAGUUAUCCCUGAUAUCCUGAUCCUGGUCUUCCAUUGGUUCUGCCCAGCAUCGAUGCUGCCCCCACCUUCUGCACCUUCUCUUCCAUGAAGAACAUGUCCACAUUGGUCCUAGGAGAGUCCCACCUGCUACUGCUGCUGCCUGCCAUCUGCAGCCAAGUGUGACUGUGUGUGAAGCGACCUUUAGGUUAGCUGAGGGAUUGAGAAUAAUGCUGCAACAAGCAUGGGAAUAUAGGCAUCUUCUGGGCAUCCUGACUUCAGUUCGGGAGUAUGUGGUGUCUUUUGAUGAAGAUUUGAGCCCAGGGCUGCGUUGGGCAGAGAUGCAGUUCUGUGAUCCUCUUGGGAUCAUGUUUCAAGGCUUUGUUGAUGAGAAUAGCUAAGGAGUGUCCCAUAAAGUGAUUUUCAAAGUUUUUGCUCUGUCUUUAGUGGACUCAGUACUGACCACACCUGUGUUACCCCAGUGUUAUGGAUGGAAUUGUGCCUUCCCCACCAAGAGAAGGCUCCAUUCCCAUCAUGAGAUACCCACAUGAACUGAUGGAAAUUUGGAAAUUUCCCAAGGUCCUACUUCCAAAUACCAUUAUAUUGGAGGUUAUAACUUCAAUAUAUGAAACAAAAAUGGAAUGAGGACGAAAACAUCCAGCCCAUAAUAUUGAUUUACUGGGGAAGCGCUAGGGAUGGAACCCAAGGCUUCACAUUUGCUCUAUUGCUGAAUCGCACCUAUGUCCCCACCAUUUUUGCUUCAGGUCUUUUGGUUACAGCAAUGAACAAGCUGACUAAAACAGUCUCACACAUGAGCUUUUGGGAACAUCUCCUGUCUAACAUGGACUGAACCAAUACUUCCCACCCAGCCAUGACAUCCUGGAUGCUGAACCCAAGAAACUCCUUCCCAUGUCUCCAACAAGAUGUGUAAAGCUCUGUUCAUUGUAGAAAUGUUUGUAAUACAGAAGAUUUGGAAACACCUAAAAGCUUGCAAAUGGGAAAGUAGAUAAAUAAAAUGUGUUACAUACAAAUAAUGAAAAAUGUUAGGCAGAUAAAGGAAUGCUCAGGCCCACAUCUACUUAUAUCAGUCUGGAGCAAUCUCAAAAGCAUCACCUGGGCUGGGAAAAGGUGAGAAGCAGUAAGAGAUGUAUACCAACAGGCCAUGCAUAUAUAUUUUUUAAAAUAUUUUUUUAGUUUGCAGAUGGACACAAUACCUUUAUUUUAUUUAUUUUUCUGUGGUACUGAGGAUCAAAUCCAGAGCCUUACACAAGCUAAGCAAGCACUCUAUCACUAAGCCACAACCCCAGCCCCUGCAUAUAUGUUUAAAAGCACACACAUAAUACCAAAAUUGCAAAUAGAAAUAUAAUCAAGGAAGACAUAGAAAAAAAUCGAAACAAAAAAAAAUCACAGGAAUAAAUCCUGUGGUAGGUCGAGGAAAAUGAGAUUUGGGAUAGGGUAAGGGGUCAAAAAACAAAGUAAAAUAAAAGUGAGCCCUUCCUGUGUCGAUGAAGUCUGUGCACCUUGACCCAGGGAGAAUGGCUGAUUUCCUCUGAGCACGCCCCAUCUCAGCAAGCAGAAAACUAAACCAAAACACGAGUUAAUAUUUAACGCAUGUGGAAAGAAAACUCCAGUGAGUGCCCGUGGAUACCCCUAUGCCUGAUGUGUGCUCAGAGGUGGCAGAGGGCAGUCACUCAGGCUGGGUCCUGAGGGCAGAGGGAGGCCUCAGGCAGCUUCAGGAAGUUGAGGAGCCCCAGACCUUCAGCCCUUGCGAUUCUCUCCAGACGGCUGGUCUUAUUCCAGGGCCACACCACAGUGUAGCCUUGACUCACUUUAAUCACACAGCCUCCUAGAGGUGCUGCACACUGCUCUCAAGAAACUGCUGGGUCACUAGAUGGUCCCACAGAGAUUGUCACCACAGGGGUUUCACCCUGUCAUUCACCUGAAGCUCCUCCAGCACAGUCUGGAGACCCUGGGCACAAACUCCUCCAGCCUCUUCUGUUGCCGGCCUCCAGUGACAAAAGCUACUUCUCAAGACAAUCAAGUCCAGAAUGGUCCAGCUUAUGUUUCAUGUGGAGGACAGAGGGGAGUGGCAGCUUUGAUGAUGUUUGAGGUCUCACUCUUGGAGAAAGAAGUAGGGAGAGAUAGAUGAUGAGUUACCUGCUGUCCCCCAAAUCCCCUUUAUUUUCUUGGUCUCUGUUUGGAGAGGCGUCCGUGAGGUUGAAGCACCCCUGCCCCAAUGUCUUGACCCAACCGUGGGGCGACUGGCCCAGUUCUGUGUGGUUAUGUUGUUCAGUGAGGAAGCAGGUGGAGGAAGUAGGAACAGCA